UGGGGAAUAUUGCACAAUGGGCGAAAGCCUGAUGCAGCAACGCCGCGUGAGUGAUGAAGGUCUUCGGAUUGUAAAGCUCUGUCUUUUGGGACGAUAAUGACGGUACCAAAGGAGGAAGCCACGGCUAACUACGUGCCAGCAGCCGCGGUAAUACGUAGGUGGCGAGCGUUGUCCGGAUUUACUGGGCGUAAAGGGUGCGUAGGCGGAUGUUUAAGUGAGAUGUGAAAUACCCGGGCUUAACUUGGGUGCUGCAUUUCAAACUGGAUAUCUAGAGUGCAGGAGAGGAGAAUGGAAUUCCUAGUGUAGCGGUGAAAUGCGGUAGAGAUUAGGAAGAACACCAGUGGCGAAGGCGAUUCUCUGGACUGUAGCUGACGCUGAGGCACGAAAGCGUGGGUAGCAAACAGGAUUAGAUACCCUGGUAGUCCACGCCGUAAACGAUGAGUACUAGGUGUAGGAGGUNUCGACCCCUUCUGUGCCGCAGUAAACACAUUA
Molecule: ribosomal RNA, 492 nt
Filed under: uncultured bacterium
Lineage: Bacteria
Description: partial 16S ribosomal RNA
Rfam family: Bacterial small subunit ribosomal RNA
Source: RNAcentral